This is a long non-coding RNA of Amphimedon queenslandica, 307 nucleotides long. RefSeq lists it as uncharacterized. The transcript has 2 exons. The record is from RefSeq and is a predicted model, not a curated record. NCBI's taxonomy places the organism in Eukaryota, Metazoa, Porifera, Demospongiae, Haplosclerida, Niphatidae.
GGAAGUGACAUCAUCAUCACAUGACGCAUGCAUGAUGAGCAACCUUAACCUCCUGCCUCUGGACCGGACCAGUGCAGUCUAGAUCAGCAUACUAGCUAGACAUGCUAUUACUAAUGCAUGGUGGAUGAUGGUGCAUUAUGCAUUAUACAUGUGAUGUGCAACAAAUGAACUUUUGAUGUAAUGGUCUAUUUAUAAUGCAGUCAUGCAUUUGCUGAGUCACAGAUACCAGCAAAAGCAGUUCUGUCUAGUGACUAGAUCUACUUUCCAGCUAGGCUUUUUAGAAGUAACUGGCUUUGACUUUUCCAAA